GAUGAACGCUGGCGGCGUGCCUAAUACAUGCAAGUCGAGCGAACGGACGAGAAGCUUGCUUCUCUGAUGUUAGCGGCGGACGGGUGAGUAACACGUGGAUAACCUACCUAUAAGACUGGGAUAACUUCGGGAAACCGGAGCUAAUACCGGAUAAUAUUUUGAACCGCAUGGUUCAAAAGUGAAAGACGGUCUUGCUGUCACUUAUAGAUGGAUCCGCGCUGCAUUAGCUAGUUGGUAAGGUAACGGCUUACCAAGGCAACGAUGCAUAGCCGACCUGAGAGGGGGAUCGGCCACACUGGAACGGAGACCCGGUCCAGGCUCCUACGGGAGGCAGCAGGAGGGAAUCUUCCGCAAGGGGGGAAACCCUGACGGAGCAACGCCGCGGGAGGGAUAAAGGUCUUAGGAUCGUAAAACUUUUUUUUUAGGGAAAAACAUAUGUGUAAGUAACUGUGCCCAUCUGGACGGACCCUAAUCAGAAAGCCAGGGCUAAUUACGG
RNAcentral lists this ribosomal RNA (496 nucleotides) under uncultured bacterium. RNAcentral describes it as "partial 16S ribosomal RNA". It matches the Rfam family "Bacterial small subunit ribosomal RNA", at positions 28 to 506 of the family's 1533-position model. The record is from RNAcentral.